Molecule: long non-coding RNA, 6268 nt
Organism: Homo sapiens (human)
Lineage: Eukaryota; Metazoa; Chordata; Mammalia; Primates; Hominidae
Exons: 2
Source: RefSeq, a predicted model, not a curated record
GUGAGCCGCUUGUCUGGCCAACAAUUGUUUUGUUAAAACCUAUCACCAAGGGUUGGGCAUAUGGAUCAAGCUGGAUUGUCUGAAUUCAUUCCCUAGAAUUUGGACCUUGAGGAAAUAAGACAAUGAGUGAAAAGAUGGGCUGGCACUUGCUUGUUCCAGCAUGGUGAUGAGACUGCCACUCCCGCCUCCUGGACCCUGGGUGUGUGGCCUGGCCUGGGGAAGGUGCUUGGGGGUGUUGAGGCCUGGCCUGGCCUGGGGAAGGUGCUUGGGGGUGUUGAGGCCUGGCCUGGCCUGGGGAAGGUGCUUGCACAGGGUGACAUCAUUUCAGGGAGUAGUUGCCUCUGUCCCUGGCCAGUCUCCAGUCUCCAGCUUCAUAUCCUCCCGCUGGAGAGCAGAGACGAUGGGGGUGUCCCUGUGUAUGCUUAAGUGCAAUGGCAUUUUAAGAAAACUAUUAGCAAUUUUAUGAAACUAAAUUGCUGCUGUUUUAUUAGCAGCCACAGUCAGCAAGGCCCUGGCUGGGUGCUUGCUCCGUGAAGCUGUAUACGUGUGACUGCCUCAGCAGUGCUGGCUGCUCCUGCUCUCGAAUCUAAAAAGCAGCUGGACAAAAUGUUCACGUUUUCGCUCAAAACCAAACAAACAGAAAAACUCAAUUAGCUUGUUUGUGUGGGCUGAAGCACCUCUGUUUGCCCGCCCCCCGCAGUGACCCCCAUAGUGUCCCCGGAAUGGACGGACUCACGGGCUGUCACAUCGCGCACAUCUUCCCCGGAGAAGGGAUGUGAAUCUUGGUGGGGUGGGGGGCACUACCUGGCCCAGCACAGGGUGCAGGUGGGUGACCCGGGAGACUCUCCCCGCUCCAGACCUGUCAUCAUGUUGCCAUCUGAGGCGGCACUCACAGGUUUGCGGGGCUGCACAUCUUUGGGGGCCUCCACUCAGCCUGGCACAGUGUGUGCCCAGCAAGUAGACGACCGCAUCCUCGCCAGCACACAUGUGCUAGAAACUUCUGUCAGGAAACGCCGCUCUUCACAGCCAAGGGUGGAAACUACUGGAUGCAUUGCAGAGCUGACGCCCUCCCUCCGGCCUGGCUCCGAGCCAUGCCUGGUGUGGUGGAGGGGUGGAGGCCACCCUCACCGGGCCCUGUGUGCUGCUCUGAUGCCGCUGAGGGGGCCGGGGCCUGGGUGUGCCCUCAGCGCGUCCACUGCAGAGGGGAGCCUGCGCCCACGUUUUGGCUCUGUGGGUAAAGGUGGCCACCCCCUGAGCUUGUAGGGGUGUGGGACACUUCCCGAUGCUGCCUGCCAUGAUUUUACAUGAAAAGCCGGGAAAAGGCACUGAGGAGCCACCUGACCCCACGGAAUGCCAUUUCCUGGUGUCGCUUGGCCAGAAGUCAUUGACACAGCCCUGCCAGCCGGAAGCUGGGGCAGGGACGGGGUCCUGCCUUCUGGGACAGGUUCUGUGUGUGCGCGACCAUGUCCCAGAGGUCUCUGCUCAGCCCUGGGGGCCGGUGGGGGUGGGGUUGGAGGGUGGAUGGUGGGGGUGGGGCCAAGUUAGCCCGAGCGGUCUGUGAGGUGAGAAGGGCCGGGGUCUCUCCUCCUCUCCUCCGCACCCCACCCCGCCUUGCUCUGAAUCUCUCCCUCUCUCUGUCUCUGUUGGUCUCUUUCCCUCUCUACUCCCCAUUCUGGUGUCUUUGGAGCCCUGGGUAAGGUGUGUGCUGAGUCCGGUCUGGUUUGGGGUAGAUGUUCUUUGAUCUGUUACCACACCUGGAGGGAAAGCCCCUGGCCCGCCCCCCCUCCGUUCCUGCAGAGCCAGGCCCCCCAACCAGUCGGUGGGCAGGAUGCCCACCAGUUGCCCCCAUCUGGCCCAGGGGGACCUUUCCUCUGCUCUCCAGGGACCACUGCAGGUGGUGUGGCCCCUGAGGGGAGCAUAAGGGUGCAGUGCCUGACUCAGGGGACACAGAAGCCCCGUCCAUACGGCCUUUUACACAGCACAGCACCCAGCCCUCGGCAGCCCAGAGCAGGAACCAACAGGGUGCAGACACCCCCACCCAGAGGUUGCAGCUCGGAUGGAGAAACAGGCUGGGUCACAAAAGCCCCGGGAGGCAGCCCCUGCUGUCUGGCGUCUUCUCUGGGGAAAGCUUUCCGGAGCCUGAUGGAGGAAGACAGAGGAAAGAGACCUGUGUUCCCUGAUGCACUGGCCAGCUGCUUCCCGGGGAGGAGGAGGCAGAAAUAUACAGUAACUGAUUGUUGCCUUUGGUCUGUGAACUGUACUAUGGAACACUGGAACUUACUCCUUCACCUGACUGCAUGUUUGUGCCCCAUAACCAGCCUCACUUUCUGUCUGCCUCUCACCCACACACCCUGCCUAGCCUCUGGGAACCACCAGCCAACUCUCUGCCUCUGUAAGAGCCACUCUUUCAGUGCCCACAAAUGAGUGAGAACAUGGUACAUUUGUCUUUCUACCCCGGCUUACUUCCCUUAACAUGACAGCCUUCAAUUCCAUCCAUGUUGUUGCAAACGACAUGAUUUCAUUCUUGUUUAUGGCUGCGGAGUAUUCCAUUGCGUAAGAUACCACGUGUUCUGUAUCCAUUCAUCCAUUGAUAGGCACCCAGGUUGAUUCCAUUUGGCUUUUGAAAGUGUGUAGUUGGAGAAUCCAAUGUGCCCCCUCGGGUUUUCAAAAUGUGGGCAUCUUGAGUGCGGGAAAGGAAGUGCCUGCCGCUCCCCAGGGCACCCGGUGGCAUCUGCAGAGGGGAGGCAGCCACAGCAGGCCUGCCGUGGUGACAGCAAAUAGCCAGGCGGCCAGGGAGGCUCCUGCGGUGACAGCCCCGGGUCACAGGGUCAGAAGCAGCCCACCGGGGCCGGGGUGGCUUGCGUCAGUUUGGGAACAUUUUAAGCCAUUACCACUUUAAAUACUGAUUUUGCCUAUUCUUUCUCUCCUUCCCAGAACUCCAGUUACUCACGUGUGGUGUCUUCUCAUUGUGUCUGCUGUCUCUUCCCAUCUCACUGGGGCAGUAGGGCUGCCAUAAGCCAGCACCACAGACCAGGGGCUCCACAACCCUGGUGGCUGCAAGUUCAAGAUCAACACAGGGACAGGGUUAGUCUAGUGAGGCCUCUCUUCCUGGCUUGUGGAGGGCCACCUGCUCCCUGUGUGCACAAGGCCUUUUCUCUGUGCACACGCAUGUGCACGCGCACACACGUGCACACACACGCACACACGUGCACACACACGUGCACACACACGCACACAUGCACACACACGCACACACAUGCACACACACGUGCACACACACGCACACAUGCACACACACGCACGCAAUCUGGUGUCUCUUCCUCUUCUCAUAAGGACUCCAGUCCUAUCGGAUCAGGGCCCCACCCUGCUGGCUGCACUUCACCUUAAUUACCUCCCUAAUGUCUUCUCUCCAGACAGACUCUCCUUGGUGGGUGGGGCUUUGUGAGGGUUUGAAUGUCCGUGUUCCCCGAAAUUCAUCUGUUGAAAUCCUCACCCCCAAGGCGAUGGUGUUAGGAGAUGGGGCCUGUGGUAGGGACGGGGUCCUGAAGGUGGACCGCUGAUCAUGGGAUCGGUGUCCUCAUAAAAGAGGCCCCAGAGCGCCCCUCCCCCAUCCCCCAUGUGAGGACGCAGUGACACACCAGGGAAGCCGGUCCUCACCACACACGGAAUCUGCCGGUACCUUGAUCUGAGACUCCCCAGUCUUCAAAGCUGUGAGAAAUGCAUUGUUGUUUCUGAGCCCCCAGUCUAUGGCAUUUUGUUAUGGCAGCCAGAACUAAGCCAGGCUUCCGCAUGGGCAUUCUGGGAGGACGCGGUUCAGUCCCUCACACUUGCUCUCUCUAUUUUCCUCCUUAUGCUUCUGUCCUUCAUUCUGAGAAUCUUCUUCUGACCUACUUUCUAGUUAUUCAUUAUUGUUCAGUGAUAUCUAAACUAUUUUUAAACCCACUUAUUGAGUUCUGAAAUGUUGCUUGUAUUUUUCCCAGGCAAUCAUCUUUGUAUUGCAUUUACAAAUAGGCAUAGAAAUAGAGACUGCAAUAAGAAAAUAGAGAACGCAAUGAGAAAAGUUGGAGUUCUAAAAAGAAAGUGGAGGGAGAAUAGGAAGAAUACAAUCAGCAAAGAAAAAAAACCCAAAUCUUUCCUUUUUGUGUAAUUUUUAUUUCUCCACUGAAGUUCUUGACCUUCUCUUUUUCUUCUCAUGGACAAUGUCUCCAGCGCUCUCUGCAGCCGGCGUCUGAGGGUGCUGCGUCUGCAUUCUCAUGUAGAUGUUUUCAUUUGCUGGGUUUCUCACCGCUUAUACUCACAUUGCCAUCUCUCCAUGUGUGCCUGGCUCUUUCUUUCUUUGCCUGACAUUCUGUUUGCAGUGUUUUGGAAGGAGAAUCUGAGGCCAGAAUGAUGGCUCCUCCAGAGAGGGUGAGCUUGAGUGCCAGCAGCUUGGAGGGGCAGGGCGGUGGCUCUGGUGUCCUGUGGUUUGCGUGGGCUCUCUCUGCACUUACACUCACAAAAAGUAUCUCAGGCAGGAAUUCUCGCAGGGUGCAGGCUUCUCUUUUGACAGUUUAAUGUCACGCGUGGGUUCCUUUGUAAACAUCAGAUCAAUAGCGGAGUUCCAGAUUAAAACAUUAGGAUAAGAAGCCCAUGUUGACUCAUCCGUCCCUGGAAUGGCCUAGAAGACGGGGCACUUGGUGUUCGGGGAUGCGUCUGUCUCAGGCCGGCCUCCAUGGGUCAGGCAGCCUAGGGUGGGAGGAGGAGGGCGGCGGGCAGCCCCACAGCCGAGAUUCAGGAGAAAGGAAGAGCCACUCACUUUCUCUUCUUCACAAAGUCCUGGGAACGCAGGGAGGGGAGACGGGGUCUCGCUCUCAAAGGCAGCUCUGUAGCCAAACUGCUGCCUCCAGGCAGGAAGAGAAUCCCCGCUCAGAAGAAAGGUGGGCCACCCCUGAUGACGGCAGGUGGCCCCAAGUGUUUGGAUGCGGUGGGCCCCACUGGUUUGGGCCUAACCUCAAGUGGCUGCUAAUGGUUCCAUGAUACUCUUCCAGCUAACACUUCACAGAGAUGUCUGACUGAUGUCCACUGCUCAGCUGCACCCCUGAGCUGGUGAGCAUUCAGGUAGAGCACCCACCUCUACUUUUCUCACCCCGAAAAUCAGAGACUGGUUCUCAGCUGGUGCAGCCACCGCCCCAGCGUACCGGAUGCAGGACUUUCCCUGCGAACACUGGACAGUCCCAGCAAAGCAGACGGUGGGUCGCUCUGUAUCUCUGAAGAACAGCUGGGCCUGCGUGUGUCAUUCUCAGGCAUCUGGCCCAGGGCUUCUCCUCCAGGAAGGUGGCUGCUCAGCUCCGGGCACUGCCAGGGGCCACGGACCCCGCCUCCUUUCCAGGCUGUUCCACAGCAUCUGCCUUCAUACUCACAGCCACCGCGGCGUGCGUCCCAGGGAUUCUCAGAAUAGAAUUCUGUGCCUCUCUCGCCUCUGGAAGUGACCGCGCUCUGUAGGAAAAUAUCACAGCACGCCGGCCUCGAAAGGCCACGACGUGGCUCUAAACUGCUCUAAGUAUGUCAGUUACUUAGAACAAUCAGAAAGGGGCAGAACAAGCUGGGGUGUGGAGUCAGGGGUCAGGGCACAGACAGCACCUCUUGUCUUGCAGAGAGAAUGCUAGCAAUUUGCAAGUUACUUGAAAAGGUUUGUGAUUUUCCAACGCCCUGAGUAAUUCUAGCCAAAAUGCGUGACUCGCCUCACACUAGAUGCUUGCUGUAAUUGUGUCUCUGUAUUAAACUGACCGUUCUUUGGAGCUUCAGAAUGGACCAGGAGGAAAAGGUAAAUACCAACCUCGCUACAACCUCAGAGGCAUCAACGCCCUCCUGCUACAGACGCAUCUGUUCUCGCCUGGCUCCUGCCGGCUGCCCUGGGAGAGGCCACAAAAUGCCCUCCACGGAGACAAGGCCUGAGAACCUUCGGGACGCCCGCUGCCGCUCACUGUGUUGAAGAACUGCCCGUUCCGCACCCCGGGCCCUAGACACACGGCUCUGUGGAGGACGAGGAAGUGCCGUCAGGUGAGACUUCACCGUGAAAUAUCUUCUGAGACACAACAAUCUCCCUGAAUUAAAACUACAGACUCUAAUUUAUAAAAACUGUGUGUUUCAAAAGCUCCAAGUGUUUACAUUCUCCGAUUCAUCAUUCCUUCUUCUAAUUUAUUUUAGGAAAUAAUGCAAAGUACUCACAAAAAUUUAUAUAGAAAGAUGUUCAUUGCAGAAUUCAUUAUAAUAAAAACCUUUAAAUGCU